GUCUAUGGCCAUAGAGUGUCCCUGAUCCCGUCUGAGCUCGGAAGCUAAGCAGGGUCGGGCCUGGUCAGUACCUGGAUGGGAGACCACCUAGGAGGACCAGGUGCUGUAGGCA
Molecule: ribosomal RNA, 112 nt
Filed under: Pteropus alecto (black flying fox)
Lineage: Eukaryota; Metazoa; Chordata; Mammalia; Chiroptera; Pteropodidae
Source: RNAcentral